GCCAGCAGCCGCGGUAAUUCCAGCUCCAAUAGCGUAUAUUAAAGUUGUUGCAGUUAAAAAGCUCGUAGUUGAAACUUGGGCCUGGCUGGCGGGUCCGCCUCACCGCGUGCACUCGUCCGGCCGGGCCUUCCUUCUGAAGAACCUCAUGCCCUUCACUGGGCGUGCUGGGGAAUCAGGACUUUUACUUUGAAAAAAUUAGAGUGUUCAAAGCAGGCCUUUGCUCGAAUACGUUAGCAUGGAAUAAUAAAAUAGGGCGUGCGUUUCUAUUUUGUUGGUUUCUAGAGACGCCGCAAUGAUUAACAGGAACAGUCGGGGGCAUCAGUAUUCAGUUGUCAGAGGUGAAAUUCUUGGAUUUACUGAAGACUAACUACUGCGAAAGCAUUUGCCAAGGAUGUUUUCAUUAAUCAGUGAACGAAAGUUAGGGGAUCGAAGA
This 433-nucleotide ribosomal RNA is filed under the name Alternaria alternata. Its description in RNAcentral is "SSU rRNA". It matches the Rfam family "Eukaryotic small subunit ribosomal RNA", at positions 566 to 1004 of the family's 1831-position model. The record is from RNAcentral. Lineage: Eukaryota; Fungi; Ascomycota; Dothideomycetes; Pleosporales; Pleosporaceae.